This 472-nucleotide ribosomal RNA is filed under the name uncultured eukaryote. Its description in RNAcentral is "eukaryotic LSU rRNA". It matches the Rfam family "Eukaryotic large subunit ribosomal RNA", at positions 1638 to 2145 of the family's 3401-position model. The record is from RNAcentral.
AAAUUGGUAACAAUAAUUAAAACUUUAAUUGUAAUUAAUGAAUAUUUUAGAAAGAGUUUUUCUUUUCUUUUUAAUAAAUUUUUAUUAAUAUUGAAUUUCUUUGGAGAUUUGAUAUAAAAUUAAAUGGAAUAAUAUUAUAUUGAGAUAUUUAAUACUAUUUAGAAGAAUUAAAAUAAAUUUGAUUUGUAUUGUUUUAAUCUAAAUUAUAUUCAAUAAUCCUUGAAAAUUAAAGUGAUUGAUGUUAACAUAUGAAGUUUAAAAUGGUCGUACUCAUCACCGCAUCAGGUCUCUAAGGUGAAAAGCCUCUAGUUGAUUAGAAAUAAUGCAGGUAAGGAAAGUCGGCAAAUUAGAUCCGUAACUUCGGGAAAUGGAUUGGCUCAUAAAAUUAUAAAAUAAUAAAAUAAUUUUUUUAUUUUGUUAUUUAAAUUUAAUUAAUGAACUGAUACGAUCAUGGGGAAGUCCGACUGUUUAA